This is a small nuclear RNA of 504 nucleotides. It matches the Rfam family "Yeast U1 spliceosomal RNA". Rfam says of the family: U1 is a small nuclear RNA (snRNA) component of the spliceosome (involved in pre-mRNA splicing). Its 5' end forms complementary base pairs with the 5' splice junction, thus defining the 5' donor site of an intron. There are significant differences in sequence and secondary structure between metazoan and yeast U1 snRNAs, the latter being much longer (568 nucleotides as compared to 164 nucleotides in human).
AUACUUACCUUAAGACGUCAGAGGAGAUCAAGAAGUCCUUUUGGCCAAGCAUGUCUUUCUAGAGUGAUGCCCGUUUUUUUCAGAAGGCGGGUUCGCUCGCCAGGUCUCCAGUAGACUGCACAUACUUGCGAAAGACGUGUUUGCUGACGUUUCGUUUCCUCGUUCCGCUAUCGUGCUGUUAUUUCUAAGAGGUGGUGGUACGAUAGUCGGAGCCCUUUGUUUCUUCUGCCUGGAGAAGUAUGAUGCUGAUUACAAGUCAGCGUUGGGGAAGCUGGAUGUGGAUCUUGGCCGUUUUAAGUACCCUGGCAUCAGUUUUAUGCGAUGGUCGAUUCCUGUGCGCGUUUUUUGCCUUGAAUUGUUCAGGGUUUGCUCUCGGGCAAAUUAUUGGGCUUUUUGGAGCAAACUACAAGCAUAGAGAAGGUGCACCAUUGCGAAGUUUGGGUAUAGGACAAGUCUUCAUUUGGUAGAGACGGGUAGGUCUUAUAAUUUUUGAUGUUCAUUCUU